RNAcentral lists this ribosomal RNA (622 nucleotides) under Streptomyces sp. RNAcentral's name for it is "bacterial SSU rRNA". It matches the Rfam family "Bacterial small subunit ribosomal RNA", at positions 263 to 886 of the family's 1533-position model. Lineage: Bacteria; Bacillati; Actinomycetota; Actinomycetes; Kitasatosporales; Streptomycetaceae. The record is from RNAcentral.
ACCCAUCAGGCGACGACGGGUAGCCGGCCUGAGAGGGCGACCGGCCACACUGGGACUGAGACACGGCCCAGACUCCUACGGGAGGCAGCAGUGGGGAAUAUUGCACAAUGGGCGAAAGCCUGAUGCAGCGACGCCGCGUGAGGGAUGACGGCCUUCGGGUUGUAAACCUCUUUCAGCAGGGAAGAAGCGAAAGUGACGGUACCUGCAGAAGAAGCGCCGGCUAACUACGUGCCAGCAGCCGCGGUAAUACGUAGGGCGCAAGCGUUGUCCGGAAUUAUUGGGCGUAAAGAGCUCGUAGGCGGCUUGUCACGUCGGUUGUGAAAGCCCGGGGCUUAACCCCGGGUCUGCAGUCGAUACGGGCAGGCUAGAGUGUGGUAGGGGAGAUCGGAAUUCCUGGUGUAGCGGUGAAAUGCGCAGAUAUCAGGAGGAACACCGGUGGCGAAGGCGGAUCUCUGGGCCAUUACUGACGCUGAGGAGCGAAAGCGUGGGGAGCGAACAGGAUUAGAUACCCUGGGUAGUCNCACGCCGUAAACGUUGGGAACUAGGUGUUGGCGACAUUGCNACGUCUCGUCGNGUGCCGCAGCUGAAUGCAUUACAGUUCCCCGCCUGGGGGAGUUACGGG